AGCAGGAUGGCGCAGUGGUAGCGCGCAUGGGUUAGUAACCCCUGAGGUCCGUAGAUCGAAACUACGUCCUGCUA
Anopheles marshallii is the source of this 74-nucleotide non-coding RNA. The record is from the annotation of a RefSeq genome assembly. Lineage: Eukaryota; Metazoa; Arthropoda; Insecta; Diptera; Culicidae.